This 94-nucleotide small nuclear RNA is filed under the name Neogale vison (American mink). Lineage: Eukaryota; Metazoa; Chordata; Mammalia; Carnivora; Mustelidae. The record is from RNAcentral.
GUGCUCGCUUUGGCAACACACAUCCUAAAACAGGAAUGAUACAGAGAAGAUGAGCAAGGAUGACACAGAAAUUCAUGAAGCGCUCCACGUUAAA